RNAcentral lists this ribosomal RNA (299 nucleotides) under uncultured bacterium. RNAcentral describes it as "partial 16S ribosomal RNA". It matches the Rfam family "Bacterial small subunit ribosomal RNA", at positions 789 to 1084 of the family's 1533-position model. The record is from RNAcentral.
GGUAGUCCACGCUGUAAACGAUGGGUACUAGAUUUGGUGGGUCUUGACCCCCGCCGAAUCGGAGCUAACGCAAUAAGUACCCCGCCUGGGAAGUACGGUCGCAAGACUAAAACUCAAAGGAAUUGACGGGGGCCCGCACAAGCGGUGGAUCAUGUGGUUUAAUUCGAAGCAACGCGAAGAACCUUACCUAGGUUUGACAUCUCUGGACCGACGUAGAGAUACGUUUUUCGUAGCAAUACGACCAGAAGACAGGUGCUGCAUGGCUGUCGUCAGCUCGUGUGGUGACAUGUUGGGUUAAG